UACGUAGGGAGCAAGCGUUGUCCGGAAUCAUUGGGCGUAAAGCGCGUGUAGGCGGUCCGGUAAGUCCGCUGUGAAAGUCGAGGGCUCAACCCUCGAAUGCCGGUGGAUACUGUCGGGCUAGAGUACGGAAGAGGCGAGUGGAAUUCCUGGUGUAGCGGUGAAAUGCGCAGAUAUCAGGAGGAACACCAAUUGCGAAGGCAGCUCGCUGGGACGUUACUGACGCUGAGACGCGAAAGCGUGGGGAGCAAACAGG
This 253-nucleotide ribosomal RNA is filed under the name uncultured bacterium. Its description in RNAcentral is "partial 16S ribosomal RNA". It matches the Rfam family "Bacterial small subunit ribosomal RNA", at positions 524 to 776 of the family's 1533-position model. The record is from RNAcentral.